UGACCUCAGAUCGGGUGGGACUACCCGCUGAACUUAAGCAUAUCAAUAAGCGGAGGAAAAGAAACUAACAAGGAUUCCCCUAGUAACGGCGAGUGAAGAGGGAAAAGCUCAAAUUUUGAAUCUGGUGUCUUUGGCAUCCGAGUUGUAAUCUAGAGAAGUGUUUUUUGCCUUGGACCACACAUAAAUUCCCUGGAAUGGGGUGUCAUAGAGGGUGAGAAUCCCGUUUGUGGUGUGGACUACCUUGGCUAUGUAAUACACUCUCAACGAGUCGAGUUGUUUGGGAAUGCAGCUCAAAAUGGGUGGUAAAUUCCAUCUAAAGCUAAAUACUGGCGAGAGACCGAUAGCGAACAAGUACCGUGAGGGAAAGAUGAAAAGCACUUUGGAAAGAGAGUGAAACAGUACGUGAAAUUGUUGAAAGGGAAGCGUUUGAAGUCAGUCACAUUGGUCAGAAUUCAGCCUGGCUUCUGCCUGGUUCACUUUUUGGCAAAUGGGUCAGCAUCAAUUUUGAUUGAGGGAGAAAGACUUGAGGAAUGUGGCUGUCUUCGGGCAGUGUUAUAGCCUCUUGUUGUAUGUCUCAAUUGGGAUUGAGGAAUGCAGCACGCCUUAUGGCCGGGGUUCGCCCUCGGUACGUGCUUAGGAUGUUGACAUAA
This 650-nucleotide ribosomal RNA is filed under the name uncultured Sebacinales. Its description in RNAcentral is "eukaryotic LSU rRNA". It matches the Rfam family "Eukaryotic large subunit ribosomal RNA", at positions 1 to 634 of the family's 3401-position model. The record is from RNAcentral. Lineage: Eukaryota; Fungi; Basidiomycota; Agaricomycetes; Sebacinales.